RNAcentral lists this ribosomal RNA (445 nucleotides) under uncultured bacterium. Its description in RNAcentral is "partial 16S ribosomal RNA". It matches the Rfam family "Bacterial small subunit ribosomal RNA", at positions 354 to 796 of the family's 1533-position model. The record is from RNAcentral.
GUGAGGAAUAUUGCGCAAUGGAGGCAACUCUGACGCAGCCAUGCCGCGUGCAGGAAGAAGGCGCUACGCGUUGUAAACUGCUUUUAACCGGGAAGAAACCCCAGGACGUGUCCUGGGUUGACGGUACCGGAGGAAUAAGCACCGGCUAACUUCGUGCCAGCAGCCGCGGUAAUACGAAGGGUGCAAGCGUUAUCCGGAUUCAUUGGGUUUAAAGGGUGCGUAGGCGGAGCGUUAAGUCAGUGGUGAAAUCCUGCAGCUUAACUGUAGACUUGGCAUUGAUACUGGCGCUCUUGAGUGCGCUUGAAGUGGGCGGAAUGUGCCGUGUAGCGGUGAAAUGCUUAGAUAUGGCACAGAACACCAAUUGCGAAGGCAGCUCACUAAGGCGAUACUGACGCUGAGGCACGAAAGCGUGGGGAUCGAACAGGAUUAGAUACCCUAGUAGUCC